GACGAACGCUGGCGGCGUGCUUAACACAUGCAAGUCGAACGGAAAGGCCCUGCUUUUGUGGGGUGCUCGAGUGGCGAACGGGUGAGUAACACGUGAGUAACCUGCCCUUGACUUUGGGAUAACUUCAGGAAACUGGGGCUAAUACCGGAUAGGAGCUCCUGCUGCAUGGUGGGGGUUGGAAAGUUUCGGCGGUUGGGGAUGGACUCGCGGCUUAUCAGCUUGUUGGGGGGGUAGUGGCUUACCAAGGCUUUGACGGGUAGCCGGCCUGAGAGGGUGACCGGCCACAUUGGGACUGAGAUACGGCCCAGACUCCUACGGGAGGCAGCAGUGGGGAAUAUUGCACAAUGGGCGGAAGCCUGAUGCAGCAACGCCGCGUGCGGGAUGACGGCCUUCGGGUUGUAAACCGCCUUCGCCUGUGACGAAGCGUGAGUGACGGUAAUGGGUAAAGAAGCACCGGCUAACUACGUG
Molecule: ribosomal RNA, 468 nt
Filed under: uncultured bacterium
Lineage: Bacteria
Description: partial 16S ribosomal RNA
Rfam family: Bacterial small subunit ribosomal RNA
Source: RNAcentral